Molecule: ribosomal RNA, 439 nt
Filed under: uncultured bacterium
Lineage: Bacteria
Description: partial 16S ribosomal RNA
Rfam family: Bacterial small subunit ribosomal RNA
Source: RNAcentral
CUACGGGUGGCUGCAGUGGGGAAUCUUAGACAAUGGGGGAAACCCUGAUCUAGCCAUGCCGCGUGAGCGAUGAAGGCCUUAGGGUUGUAAAGCUCUUUCAGCUGGGAAGAUAAUGACGGUACCAGCAGAAGAAGCCCCGGCUAACUCCGUGCCAGCAGCCGCGGUAAUACGGAGGGGGCUAGCGUUGUUCGGAAUUACUGGGCGUAAAGCGCACGUAGGCGGACUAUUAAGUCGAGGGUGAAAUCCCGGGGCUCAACCCCGGAACUGCCUUCGAUACUGGUAGUCUUGAGGUCGAGAGAGGUGAGUGGAAUUCCGAGUGUAGAGGUGAAAUUCGUAGAUAUUCGGAGGAACACCAGUGGCGAAGGCGGCUCACUGGCUCGAUACUGACGCUGAGGUGCGAAAGCGUGGGGAGCAAACAGGAUUAGAUACCCUCGUAGUC